GAUGAAGAACGUAGCGAAAUGCGAUAAGCAAUGUGAAUUGCAGAAUUCAGUGAAUCAUCGAAUCUUUGAACGCACAUUGCGCCCGCCAGCAUUCUGGCGGGCAUGCCUGUUCGAGCGUCAUUUCAACCCUCGAGCCCCCCCGGGGGCCUCGGUGUUGGGGGACGGCACACCAGCCGCCCCCGAAAUGCAGUGGCGACCCCGCCGCAGCCUCCCCUGCGUAGUAGCACACACCUCGCACCGGAGCGCGGAGGCGGUCACGCCGUAAAACGCCCAACUUUCUUAGAGUUGACCUCGGAUCAGGUAGGAAUACCCGCUGAACUUAAGCAUAUCAAUAAGCGGAGGA
Molecule: unclassified non-coding RNA, 343 nt
Filed under: soil metagenome
Description: partial contains 5.8S ribosomal RNA, internal transcribed spacer 2, and large subunit ribosomal RNA
Rfam family: 5.8S ribosomal RNA (bases 1-120)
Source: RNAcentral